CCUACGGGUGGCAGCAGUGGGGAAUAUUGCACAAUGGGCGCAAGCCUGAUGCAGCGACGCCGCGUGGGGGAUGACGGCCUUCGGGUUGUAAACUCCUUUCGUUAGGGACGAAGCCACAUUUUUUUGGGUGUGGUGACGGUACCUUUGUUAAGAAGCACCGGCUAACUACGUGCCAGCAGCCGCGGUAAUACGUAGGGUGCGAGCGUUGUCCGGAAUUACUGGGCGUAAAGAGCUCGUAGGUGGUUUGUUGCGUCGUCUGUGAAAUUCCGGGGCUUAACUUCGGGGUGGCAGGCGAUACGGGCAUAACUAGAGUGCUGUAGGGGAUACUGGAAUUCCUGGUGUAGCGGUGGAAUGCGCAGAUAUCAGGAGGAACACCGAUGGCGAAGGCAGGUCUCUGGGCAGUAACUGACGCUGAGGAGCGAAAGCAUGGGGAGCGAACAGGAUUAGAUACCCGAGUAGUC
RNAcentral lists this ribosomal RNA (461 nucleotides) under uncultured Corynebacterium sp. RNAcentral's name for it is "bacterial SSU rRNA". It matches the Rfam family "Bacterial small subunit ribosomal RNA", at positions 338 to 795 of the family's 1533-position model. The record is from RNAcentral. Lineage: Bacteria; Bacillati; Actinomycetota; Actinomycetes; Mycobacteriales; Corynebacteriaceae.